CCUGCACAUUGUUAGAGCUUGGAGUUGCGGCCACUGCCUGGCCAAUGAACUUAUAGGUGUAUUAGUGUGCUACAGGAGGGGGAAGUCUUUUGCUAACACCGCAACGCUCUCUGGCUCAAUGAGUAGAAUUUGAUAGUAAUUCUGGCUACAAGC
Small nucleolar RNA from Hyaena hyaena (striped hyena), 153 nucleotides. The record is from RefSeq and is a predicted model, not a curated record. NCBI's taxonomy places the organism in Eukaryota, Metazoa, Chordata, Mammalia, Carnivora, Hyaenidae.